AAUGGAAUUCUUUCGAGGUUUGA
This 23-nucleotide small nuclear RNA is filed under the name Arabidopsis thaliana (thale cress). Its description in RNAcentral is "snRNA_12909". The record is from RNAcentral. Lineage: Eukaryota; Viridiplantae; Streptophyta; Magnoliopsida; Brassicales; Brassicaceae.